RNAcentral lists this ribosomal RNA (253 nucleotides) under uncultured bacterium. RNAcentral's name for it is "partial 16S ribosomal RNA". It matches the Rfam family "Bacterial small subunit ribosomal RNA", at positions 524 to 776 of the family's 1533-position model. The record is from RNAcentral.
UACGUAGGGACCAAGCGUUGUUCGGAUUUACUGGGCGUAAAGGGCGCGUAGGCGGCGCGGUAAGUCACUUGUGAAAUCUCUGAGCUUAACUCAGAACGGCCAAGUGAAACUGACAUGCUAGAGUGCAGAAGGGGCAAUCGGAAUUCUUGGUGUAGCGGUGAAAUGCGUAGAUAUCAAGAGGAACACCUGAGGUGAAGACGGGUUGCUGGGCUGACACUGACGCUGAGGCGCGAAAGCCAGGGGAGCAAACGGG